RNAcentral lists this long non-coding RNA (801 nucleotides) under Marmota monax (woodchuck). Lineage: Eukaryota; Metazoa; Chordata; Mammalia; Rodentia; Sciuridae. The record is from RNAcentral.
UACUACUAGCAUCACAGCCCUUUCCUGUCCGUUAAGUAGAAAUGAGCAGAAACCUGGAUAGUCCAAAAGUCAUUUUAUAUUUAGCUUUGGAACUUGUCUUUGUACAUUCAUUUGAAUAUGGAUGAGCCACAAAUUGACUUCAUACAAAUUAGCAAACUUUCUUGGAAUGAGUUCUACUGUUUGCUCCUCUUCAGUUCCUUUCUGAUCCUCACUGCUUGCUAGACAUUAGCCAUUUCUUAAGUGCAGCAGCCAGGGCAAAACUGUCCUCUUUCUGCUUUGUCCAAGCAAAGACCUGGUGAUUGUGGAGUUGCAAGUCUUUACAUUGUAUCCUUUCUGAGCAUGAGGAGAUAAAGUAAAAUGUUAAGGCAGGUCAUAAAGGAAGUACCAAGAAGGUGUUGAGAAAAUGUUGGCAAAGCAGUCAGGAAGAAUACAGUAAAUUCUGUUUACAAACUUGUUAGUUUUGUAGUUGGAUACAUCCCUUGGAUUAAUAAGAGCUGACUUUAUAGGCACUGAAAAGUAUCUGAAUUUUAGCAGAUUGUGGGUUUAUGUAUUAUCAAAGUCAGGUUUAGAUGGUAAAAACAAGGUUUGUCCAUUAUUUUUUUUUAAUGCCUGUUCUAUAUAUUUAGGUAUCUGGUUUCCUACUUUAGAUCAUGUAAUUAGUAACUGAUUCUGAUUUUUUACCCAUAAUACAUUUUCCAGUAUUUGUUCCUCAUGUUUAUAGUUCACUACUGGAAAAAUUCUUCCCUGACAUCUGUUCUGGAUUAGUUCUCCUUUCCAGUUAUGUUUUCCUGUUUUAUCAGU